Molecule: long non-coding RNA, 603 nt
Filed under: Equus caballus (horse)
Lineage: Eukaryota; Metazoa; Chordata; Mammalia; Perissodactyla; Equidae
Description: lncRNA (ENSECAG00000054015.1)
Source: RNAcentral
AGAUGCUGAGAUGUUUGGGGACAGCCAGGCAACCUCAGCACGAAGCCUCGGAUGCCUCACCUGAGCUCCUGUUUCUUCUCCAGCUGUAAUUUUGCAGGUCCUUCUAGUUGUGGCAUAUGUGACACCGCCUCAACGUGGCCUGAUGAGCGGUGCCAUGUCUGCGCCCAGGAUCCGAACCAGUGAAACCCUGCGCAGCCGUAGCAGAGUGCACGAACUUAACCACUCGGCCACGGGGCUGGCCCCGAAAACCCAUUCUUGACAAAAUACUCCCAGCUCCCUCCAAGAGGCACAUCAGGACAGCACAUCUGUCAGGCCCAGUGAACUUCUCAGGACGACGCUACACGAAGGGCUAUGGACUAGAGGGCCGGAUGACCUUGGUUCUAGUUCCAGAUAUGUCACUUACUAAGCUGAGGCCUGGGUUAGUCAUUUAGCCUCUCAAGCCUCAGUUUCCUCAUCUUUAAAAUGCAGAUAAAAAUACCCACUUUGCACACCUUCCAAGGUGAGUGGGGAUCAAAUAAGAUCAUAUGAAAGCUCUUUGUAAACACUGUUAAACAUAUUUCUACAUCCCAAACCUUGGGGAAGCCAGUUAUGGCAUAGUCCAGA